UACGUAGGGUGCGAGCGUUAAUCGGAAUUACUGGGCGUAAAGCGUGCGCAGGCGGUUUUGUAAGCCAGAUGUGAAAUCCCCGGGCUUAACCUGGGAAUGGCAUUUGGGACUGCAAGGCUUGAGUGCGGCAGAGGAGACUGGAAUUCCUGGUGUAGCAGUGAAAUGCGUAGAUAUCAGGAGGAACACCGAUGGCGAAGGCGGUUCUCUGGGCAUGUCCUGACGCUGAGGAGCGAAAGCGUGGGGAGCGAGCAGG
This 253-nucleotide ribosomal RNA is filed under the name uncultured bacterium. RNAcentral describes it as "partial 16S ribosomal RNA". It matches the Rfam family "Bacterial small subunit ribosomal RNA", at positions 524 to 776 of the family's 1533-position model. The record is from RNAcentral.